CCUACGGGCGGCAGCAGUGAGGAAUAUUGGUCAAUGGACGAGAGUCUGAACCAGCCAAGUAGCGUGAAGGAUGACUGCCCUAUGGGUUGUAAACUUCUUUUAUCAAGGAAUAAAACGAGGCACGUGUGCCUUUUUGCAUGUACUUUAUGAAAAAGGCUCGGCCAACUCCGUGCCAGCAGCCGCGGUAAUACGGAGGAUCCGAGCGUUAUCCGGAUUUAUUGGGGUUAAAGGGAGCGUAGAUGGGUUUUUAAGUCAGGUGGGAAAGUUUGCGGGUCAACCGUAAAAUUGCAGUUGAUACUGGCAGUCUUGAGUACAGUUGAGGUAGGCGGAAUGCGUGGUGUAGCGGUGAAAUGCUUAGAUAUCACGAAGAACUCCGAUUGCGAAGGCAGCUUACUAAACUGCCACUGACAUUGAUGCUCGAAAGUGUGGGUAUCAAACAGGAUUAGAUACCCCAGUAGUC
RNAcentral lists this ribosomal RNA (460 nucleotides) under uncultured bacterium. RNAcentral describes it as "partial 16S ribosomal RNA". It matches the Rfam family "Bacterial small subunit ribosomal RNA", at positions 338 to 795 of the family's 1533-position model. The record is from RNAcentral.